Molecule: ribosomal RNA, 253 nt
Filed under: uncultured bacterium
Lineage: Bacteria
Description: partial 16S ribosomal RNA
Rfam family: Bacterial small subunit ribosomal RNA
Source: RNAcentral
UACGUAGGGUGCGAGCGUUAAUCGGAAUUACUGGGCGUAAAGGGCGCGUAGGCGGCUUUUCAAGUCGGGCGUGAAAUCUCCGGGCUUAACCUGGAAGGGUCGUUCGAUACUGUCGAGCUAGAGUGUGGAAGAGGCUACUGGAAUUCCGUGUGUAGCGGUGAAAUUCGUAGAUAUUAGGAAGAACACCAGUGGCGAAGGCGGCUCACUGGCCCGGUACUGACGCUGAGGCGCGAAAGCGUGGGGAGCAAACAGG